CAAAGGUAUGGUCCCGACCUUUCCAUCAGCCUUAACCCAACUUACACAUGCAAGUCUCCGCAACCCUGUGAGUACCCCUCAAUCCCCCAAUUCGGGGAUAAGGAAUAGGUAUCAGGAACAAAAAUUUUAGCCCAAGACACCUAGCCAAGCCACACCCCUAAGGGAACCCAGCAGUGAUAAACAUUAAGCCAUGGGUGAAAACCCGACUUAGUUAAAGUUAAGAGGGCCGGUAAAAUUCGUGCCAGCAACCGCGGUUAAACGAAUAGCCCCAGUUGAUAGCGAUACGGCGUAAAGGGUGGUUAAGGAAAAUAAUAAUAAAGUUAAAUAACCCUUCGGCUGUCAUACGCUUCUAGGAGUCCGAGACCCAAACACGAAAGUUACUUUAAUAAAAUUACCUGACCCCACGAAAGCUGAGAAACAAACUGGGAUUAGAUACCCCACUAUGCUCAGCCAUAAACCAAGACAUAUUUGUACAAUAGUGUCCGCCAGGGUAUUACGAGCACCAGCUUAAAACCCAAAGGACCUGACGGUGCCUUAGACCCCCCUAGAGGAGCCUGUUCUAGAACCGAUAAUCCCCGUUAAACCUCACCAUUUCUGGCCAACCCAGCCUAUAUACCGCCGUCGCCAGCUUACCCUAUGAAGGUAUAAAAGUAAGCAAAAGGAGUACCACCCAAAACGUCAGGUCGAGGUGUAGCGAACGAAAUGGGAAGAAAUGGGCUACAUUUUCUAAAUUAGAAUAUCACGGAUACGCAAUAUGAAAUUAUUGCUUAAAGGAGGAUUUAGUAGUAAAAAGGAAACAGAGUGUCCCUUUGAACCCGGCCCUGAGGCGCGUACACACCGCCCGUCACUCUCCCCCGUCAUAAUGCGUAUUAAUACUACUUAACACAAAAACACCGACAAGGGGAGGCAAGUCGUAACAAGGUAAGUGUACCGGAAGGUGCACUUGGACAAAUA
This 954-nucleotide non-coding RNA is filed under the name Rasbora einthovenii (brilliant rasbora). RNAcentral describes it as "12S ribosomal RNA". It matches the Rfam family "Bacterial small subunit ribosomal RNA". Lineage: Eukaryota; Metazoa; Chordata; Actinopteri; Cypriniformes; Danionidae. The record is from RNAcentral.